RNAcentral lists this ribosomal RNA (404 nucleotides) under uncultured bacterium. RNAcentral's name for it is "bacterial SSU rRNA". It matches the Rfam family "Bacterial small subunit ribosomal RNA", at positions 355 to 776 of the family's 1533-position model. The record is from RNAcentral.
UGGGGAAUAUUGCACAAUGGGGGAAACCCUGAUGCAGCGACGCCGCGUGAGUGAAGAAGUAUCUCGGUACGUAAAGCUCUAUCAGCAGGGAAGAAAAUGACGGUACCUGACUAAGAAGCCCCGGCUAACUACGUGCCAGCAGCCGCGGUAAUACGUAGGGGGCAAGCGUUAUCCGGAUUUACUGGGUGUAAAGGGAGCGUAGACGGCUGUGCAAGUCUGAAGUGAAAGCCCGUGGCUCAACCGCGGAACUGCUUUGGAAACCGUAUAGCUUGAGUACUGGAGAGGCAGGCGGAAUUCCUAGUGUAGCGGUGAAAUGCGUAGAUAUUAGGAGGAACACCAGUGGCGAAGGCGGCCUGCUGGGCUCUAACUGACGCUGAGGCUCGAAAGCGUGGGUAGCAAACAGG